Molecule: ribosomal RNA, 484 nt
Filed under: uncultured bacterium
Lineage: Bacteria
Description: partial 16S ribosomal RNA
Rfam family: Bacterial small subunit ribosomal RNA
Source: RNAcentral
AUUGAACGCUGGCGGCAGGCCUAACACAUGCAAGUCGAGCGGAUGAAGGGAGCUUGCUCCUGGAUUCAGCGGCGGACGGGUGAGUAAUUCCUAGGAAUCUGCCUGGUAUUGGGGGAUAACGUCCGGAAACGGGCGCUAAUACCGCACACGUCCUGAGGGAGAAAGAGGGGGAUCUUCGGACCUCACGCUAUCAGAUGAGCCUAGGUCGGAUUAGCUAGUUGGUGGGGUAAAGGCCUACCAAGGCGACGAUCCGUAACUGGUCUGAGAGGAUGAUCAGUCACACUGGAACUGAGACACGGUCCAGACUCCUACGGGAGGCAGCAGUGGGGAAUAUUGGACAAUGGGCGAAAGCCUGAUCCAGCCAUGCCGCGUGUGUGAAGAAGGUCUUCGGAUUGUAAAGCACUUUAAGUUGGGAGGAAGGGCAGUAAGUUAAUACCUUGCUGUUUUGACGUUACCAACAGAAUAAGCACCGGCUAACUUCGUG